This 253-nucleotide ribosomal RNA is filed under the name uncultured bacterium. Its description in RNAcentral is "partial 16S ribosomal RNA". It matches the Rfam family "Bacterial small subunit ribosomal RNA", at positions 524 to 776 of the family's 1533-position model. The record is from RNAcentral.
UACGAAGGGGGCUAGCGUUGUUCGGAAUUACUGGGCGUAAAGCGCGCGUAGGCGGCUUUGUAAGUUAGAGGUGAAAGCCCGAAGCUCAACUUCGGAAUUGCCUUUAAGACUGCAUCGCUAGAAUCGUGGAGAGGUAAGUGGAAUUCCGAGUGUAGAGGUGAAAUUCGUAGAUAUUCGGAAGAACACCAGUGGCGAAGGCGACUUACUGGACACGUAUUGACGCUGAGGUGCGAAAGCGUGGGGAGCAAACAGG